GUGUUUCCAAGCGCGUGAAUGAGAGCGCGUUCUUUGGUAUUUUUCUCCGGGAAAGACAAUAACAAUUCUCCGUCUUAAAUUGUAUCGUUUAUUUACGUAUUAGGGUACCUAAGGUUUGAUUAUAAACGUUGUUUUACUUGUUUGGAAAAGUUUAUUAGUAAUGUUUGGGAUUCAUUUUGUAUGCAUUUUGAUGGAGGGAAACUGGGUGGAUUAUUGACUGAAGCACACCAACUAAACUGAGUUUUUAUGAAUAUAAAGUAGGACAUUAUCGAACAAAAGGACAAUUUGUGAUGUAACUGGGACCUUUUGGAGUGCCAACAGAAGAAGAUCAAAGUUGAGGAGGUUGGAUGGUAUUCCAGUGGCACAGAUGGGAAGAGAGGUAUUCUGAUCCUGACCCACUUCUACCAGAACACCAAGGACAAUGACCCAACACACCUCCAGGCUGUGUAAGGGGUAUUUUACCAAGAAGGAGAGUGAUGGAG
Molecule: long non-coding RNA, 482 nt
Filed under: Salmo salar (Atlantic salmon)
Lineage: Eukaryota; Metazoa; Chordata; Actinopteri; Salmoniformes; Salmonidae
Description: lncRNA (ENSSSAG00000096727.1, ENSSSAG00000121277.1)
Source: RNAcentral